Molecule: ribosomal RNA, 103 nt
Filed under: Trypanosoma evansi evansi
Lineage: Eukaryota; Euglenozoa; Kinetoplastea; Trypanosomatida; Trypanosomatidae
Description: partial 28S ribosomal RNA
Rfam family: Eukaryotic large subunit ribosomal RNA
Source: RNAcentral
UCAGACCUGAGUGUGGCAGGACCACCCGCUAAACUUAAGCAUGUUACUCAGCGGAGGAAAAGAAAACAACCGUGAUUCUCUCAGUCAGCGGCGAGCGAAGAGG